GCCUACGGGGGGCAGCAGUGGGGGAUAUUGCACAAUGGGGGAAACCCUGAUGCAGCGACGCCGCGUGAGUGAAGAAGUAUUUCGGUAUGUAAAGCUCUAUCAGCAGGGAAGAAAAAAGACGGUACCUGACUAAGAAGCCCCGGCUAACUACGUGCCAGCAGCCGCGGUAAUACGUAGGGGGCAAGCGUUAUCCGGAUUUACUGGGUGUAAAGGGAGCGUAGACGGCGAUACAAGUCUGAAGUGAAAGCCCGGGGCUCAACCCCGGGAUUGCUUUGGAAACUGUGUUGCUGGAGUGCUGGAAGGGC
This 305-nucleotide ribosomal RNA is filed under the name uncultured bacterium. RNAcentral describes it as "partial 16S ribosomal RNA". It matches the Rfam family "Bacterial small subunit ribosomal RNA", at positions 337 to 658 of the family's 1533-position model. The record is from RNAcentral.